AGCAGCCGCGGUAAUUCCAGCUCCAAUAGCGUAUAUUAAAGUUGUUGCAGUUAAAAAGCUCGUAGUUGAAUUUCGGGGUUAGUAAGUUGGUCAUGCCUCUGGUAUGCACUGGCUUUACUGAUUCCUCCUUCUUGAUGAACUGUAAUGUCAUUAAUUUGGUGUUGCAGGGAAUCAGGACUGUUACUUUGAAAAAUUAGAGUGUUUAAAGCAGGCAUACGCUUGAAUACAUUAGCAUGGAAUAAUGAAAUAGGACGUUUGAUCCUAUUUUGUUGGUUUCUAGGAUUGACGUAGUGAUUAAUAGGGAUAGUUGGGGGCAUUAGUAUUCAAUUGUCAGAGGUGAAAUUCUUGGAUUUAUUGAAGACUAACUACUGCGAAAGCAUUUGCCAAGGAUGUUUUCAUUAAUCAAGAACGAAAGUUAGGGGAUCGAAGACGAUCAGAUACCGUCGUAGUCUUAACCAUAAACUAUGCCGACUAGGGAUCGGAUGAUGUUAUUUUAAUGACUCAUUC
This 507-nucleotide ribosomal RNA is filed under the name uncultured Glomeromycotina. RNAcentral describes it as "SSU rRNA". It matches the Rfam family "Eukaryotic small subunit ribosomal RNA", at positions 569 to 1081 of the family's 1831-position model. Lineage: Eukaryota; Fungi; Glomeromycota. The record is from RNAcentral.